Molecule: long non-coding RNA, 1461 nt
Filed under: Apteryx haastii (Great spotted kiwi)
Lineage: Eukaryota; Metazoa; Chordata; Aves; Apterygiformes; Apterygidae
Description: lncRNA (ENSAHAG00000004638.1)
Source: RNAcentral
UGCUUCUCUUUGGUUGAAGCUGCCAGGAUAUUUCAUCUGUCCCACUGCACUCACCCUGCUGCCUGCACUCUUGCUAAUACAAGCCAGGUUAAGGGUGGCCGUCUUUGCUGCAGGAGCACCCUGCUGACUUCUUGUCAACUUGAUGUCCACCAGGACCUGCAGGUCAUUCCCCAGAUCCUCUUCCUUGUCCUUUCUUGAAGAUGGAUGUCAUGUUUGGGGGGGGAGGUGGGGAGGGCCGAGGGCUGCACCACCAGUCCCUGCGGUGUGGGGAGAGGGGAUGGGACAUGGGGCAGCACAGGGGUAGCAUCAGGUCGGUAGGACAGGGGCAGGGGGCAGUGGGGGCUGCAGCAAGCAGUCAUGGCCGGUGUUUCUGCAGCACAGCAGCUGUUGCGUUCACCUCACAUGGCUUUCUCUGUCCCUUGUGCUGCCUCCUCCUGGGAAAUGUUCCUGAAGCAGACUAAAAUAAUCACCUGUUUUCCUGUUCUAAAGUGUAGAGAGAGACUGAUUCCAGCAUUGCAAUUUGUCUUGUCAGAGAAUGACUAUCUAUGAAAGGUAGAAACGUCCCACUCUGGAAGUCCCAAUUCCCAUCACUUAACUAGGCAGGACACCUAGACAGGGACAAGAAUAGAGUUUGUUUUCCCAUGGUUUGGGUAUUGCUUCAGAUGACUCAGUUUGGGCUUCUCAGGCUGCUUUAGAAGGCCCUGGGAUGCAGUGAGAUUCAGAUCCUUCCCGUGAGCUCCACAAAAAACACAUGGGAAGUGGGAGUCCCCUUGCCCAGGCAGAAGUGAGCACAGCACGGAUGUCUGCAUGCAAGAUCUUGGUCUAUACUCCCAUUAUAAUCACUGGAGAUGGAGGGUGGAAGUCAGCUGGUCACACACAAACACCUGGUGACAUUGGAAGAGACAGAGGUGCUUGAAGGCAUGUGCCAGUGCGUUUGCUCUGAUGGAGCAAGUGUGACACCUACAUCCUUCUAGAGCAUGAGUUGGGGGCCAGGCAGGGAAUUGCCUUGGCCACCUGAAAAGAUACUAGAUGCCCACUGCUACCAGAGCUCCACUCACCAGGAAGCCGAGACACAUGCAGAUCCCAACAUUGCAAACAGUUGAUGUCAUCCAGUGCAGGCACCUGAUUCAGUGACACAGAAAUAGGCCAGCAGGGCCAUGUCGGAUGCCUGGGGUGUCCAGCACAACCACAUGUUUCUUGCAGAUACACCAUGGGACCUCUAGGAAAACCAUGCCCCUUUGGAGUGACUGCUGGGCAAGUGCCCCAGGGCAACUCAGGUUUCCUACCAGCACCCAAACAACUGGAUCCCACCACUGCCUUUAGGCCAAGUCCUUCUGACGUACAGCCAAGUGUGCUUCACAAAUGGGAGAGGCACAUCACAGCAAGGUCUCUGCUCUAGUCUCUGCACCCUUAAAACCUUCUAGCUUCCCUCCUCCUGAACCUCCUCUCACCCCCAGAUGA